GCUCCGGUGGUCUAAUGGUUAAAGCGUCCGCCUCUGAUGCGGGAGGUCGUUGGUCGAACUACAGCCGAUUCAUACCAGAGACU
Non-coding RNA from Potamilus streckersoni, 83 nucleotides. Lineage: Eukaryota; Metazoa; Mollusca; Bivalvia; Unionida; Unionidae. The record is from the annotation of a GenBank genome assembly.